UGUGAGAGAGACCUUCCUAGUGUCCA
RNAcentral lists this non-coding RNA (26 nucleotides) under Mus musculus (house mouse). Lineage: Eukaryota; Metazoa; Chordata; Mammalia; Rodentia; Muridae. The record is from RNAcentral.